UCCUGAUCAUCUUCUCUAGGUGAUUCCUCCUUGUUGCUUCCAGCCAGCCACUGGAAGGACUAGAAUCUCUGGAGAUACCCCGUCUGGAGAGCCACCCAAGCUAGCUGGGGGCUGGCUUUUUGCGAAGACCCCGUGGCCAAGGUAAAGUCCCCAUCCUGCAUAAGGUGCCAGAGCCUGUGAAUCUUGGAGGAGAAGGAAGAGCCGCAGAGGAUAAGAACUCGCGAUUCCGUGAGCCGGUGACUGCGGUGACCCGCAUCCCGAGGCGGCUGCCUUUCCGAGAAGCUCACCUCCGUAAAACACACACCAUUGCUGAGAGAGCAAUUUGUCAGUCCCCUCGAAUGAAGGGUGC
Hirundo rustica (Barn swallow) is the source of this 349-nucleotide long non-coding RNA. RefSeq lists it as uncharacterized. NCBI's taxonomy places the organism in Eukaryota, Metazoa, Chordata, Aves, Passeriformes, Hirundinidae. The transcript has 3 exons. The record is from RefSeq and is a predicted model, not a curated record.